This 513-nucleotide ribosomal RNA is filed under the name uncultured bacterium. Its description in RNAcentral is "partial 16S ribosomal RNA". It matches the Rfam family "Bacterial small subunit ribosomal RNA", at positions 28 to 523 of the family's 1533-position model. The record is from RNAcentral.
GAUGAACGCUGGCGGCGUGCCUAAUACAUGCAAGUCGAGCGAACAGACGAGGAGCUUGCUCCUCUGACGUUAGCGGCGGACGGGUGAGUAACACGUGGAUAACCUACCUAUAAGACUGGGAUAACUUCGGGAAACCGGAGCUAAUACCGGAUAAUAUGUUGAACCGCAUGGUUCAAUAGUGAAAGACGGUUUUGCUGUCACUUAUAGAUGGAUCCGCGCCGCAUUAGCUAGUUGGUAAGGUAACGGCUUACCAAGGCAACGAUGCGUAGCCGAACUGAGAGGGUGAUCGGCCAGACUGGAACUGAGACACGGUCCAGACUCCUACGGGAGGCAGCAGUAGGGAAUCUUCCGCAAUGGGCGAAAGCCUGACGGAGCAACGCCGCGUGAGUGAUGAAGGUCUUCGGAUCGUAAAACUCUGUUAUUAGGGAAGAACAAAUGUGUAAGUAACUAUGCACGUCUUGACGGUACCUAAUCAGAAAGCCACGGCUAACUACGUGCCAGCCGCCGCGGUAA